AGAGUUUGAUCAUGGCUCAGAGCGAACGCUGGCGGCAGGCCUAACACAUGCAAGUCGAGCGCCGUAGCAAUACGGAGCGGCAGACGGGUGAGUAACGCGUGGGAACGUGCCCUUCGGUUCGGAAUAACUCAGGGAAACUUGAGCUAAUACCGGAUACGUCCGUAAGGAGAAAGAUUUAUCGCCGAAGGAUCGGCCCGCGU
RNAcentral lists this ribosomal RNA (200 nucleotides) under uncultured bacterium. RNAcentral's name for it is "partial 16S ribosomal RNA". It matches the Rfam family "Bacterial small subunit ribosomal RNA", at positions 8 to 236 of the family's 1533-position model. The record is from RNAcentral.